RNAcentral lists this ribosomal RNA (329 nucleotides) under Reticulitermes flavipes (eastern subterranean termite). RNAcentral describes it as "partial 16S ribosomal RNA". Lineage: Eukaryota; Metazoa; Arthropoda; Insecta; Blattodea; Rhinotermitidae. The record is from RNAcentral.
UUAGAAGGGCCGCGGUAUUUUGACCGUGCAAAGGUAGCAUAGUCAUUAGUUCUUUAAUUGUGAUCUGGUAUGAAUGGCUUGACGAGGCAUAAGCUGUCUUAAUUUUGAAUUGUUUAUUGAAUUUGUUCUUURAGUUAAAAUUCUUAGAUGUUUUUAUGGGACGAGAAGACCCUAUAGAGUUUGACAUUUAUUAUGGUCUUUUUCUGUUUGUGAGGGUUCACUAGGGCUGUUUAAUAUGUUUUGUUGGGGUGAUGGGAGGGAUAUUAUUUAACCCCUCCUUUGUGUUGUUAUAUUUAUUUAUAUUUGCUUGAUCCAUUUAUUUUGAUUGU